GAUGAACGCUAGCGGGAGGCCUAACACAUGCAAGCCGAGCGGUAUGGGUAGCUUGCUACCCAGAGAGCGGCGUACGGGUGCGUAACACGUGUGCAACCUGCCCCUAUCCGGGGGAUAGCCCUCCGAAAGGAGGAUUAAUACCCCAUAAUAUAUCUGGUGGCAUCACUAGAUAUUGAAAACCCCGGUGGAUAGGGAUGGGCACGCGCAAGAUUAGAUAGUUGGCGGGGUAACGGCCCACCAAGUCGAUGAUCUUUAGGGGUCCUGAGAGGGAGAUCCCCCACACUGGUACUGAGACCCGGACCAGACUCCUACGGGAGGCAGCAGUGAGGAAUAUUGGACAAUGGGUGGAAGCCUGAUCCAGCCAUCCCGCGUGAGGGACGACGGCCCUAUGGAUUGUAAACCUCUUUUGUACGGGGAUAAACCUAUCUACGUGUAGAUAGCUGAAGGUACCGUACGAAUAAGCACCGGCUAACUCCGUG
RNAcentral lists this ribosomal RNA (479 nucleotides) under uncultured bacterium. RNAcentral's name for it is "partial 16S ribosomal RNA". It matches the Rfam family "Bacterial small subunit ribosomal RNA", at positions 28 to 507 of the family's 1533-position model. The record is from RNAcentral.